AUCAUCUCUCGGCCUUUUGGCUAAGAUCAAGUGUAGUAUCUGUUCUUAUCAGUUUAAAUCUGGGUGCUAUUCUCAGUUGUAUUUAGAUUAAAAAAUAUGUCCAUUGAAACAGAUCUAUUGAAACAGAAUUUGCAUUUUGACAAGAUUCCCCAGGUUUUUUAUGUGCACAUUAAAAUUUGGGAAGCACU
Molecule: non-coding RNA, 188 nt
Organism: Pteropus alecto (black flying fox)
Lineage: Eukaryota; Metazoa; Chordata; Mammalia; Chiroptera; Pteropodidae
Source: Rfam